CAGCCGCCACGGGAAUACGUAGGUGGCGAGCGUUGUCCGGAAUCAUUGGGCGUAAAGGGAGCGCAGGCGGGCAUGUAAGUCUUUCUUAAAAGUUCGGGGCUCAACCCCGUGAUGGGAAAGAAACUACAUGUCUUGAGUACAGGAGAGGAAAGCGGAAUUCCCAGUGUAGCGGUGAAAUGCGUAGAUAUUGGGAGGAACACCAGUGGCGAAGGCGGCUUUCUGGACUGCAACUGACGCUGAGGCUCGAAAGCCAGGGGAGCGAACGGGAUUAGAUACCCGCGUAGUCCCUGUCUCUUAUACA
Molecule: ribosomal RNA, 301 nt
Filed under: uncultured bacterium
Lineage: Bacteria
Description: partial 16S ribosomal RNA
Rfam family: Bacterial small subunit ribosomal RNA
Source: RNAcentral